UUCGCAAUGCCCGAAAGGGUGACGAAGCGACGCCGCGUGGGUGAGGAAGGCCCUCGGGUUGUAAAGCCCUGUCAGGAGUUAAGAAAUGUAGAUUCGCUAAUAUCGGGUCUAUUUGACGAAGGCUCCAAAGGAAGCCACGGCUAACUCUGUGCCAGCAGCCGCGGUAAUACAGAGGUGGCAAGCGUUGUUCGGAAUUAUUGGGCGUAAAGAGCACGUAGGUGGAUUUGUAAGUCAGAUGUGAAAGCCUUCUGUUCAAAGGAAGAACGGCAUCUGAAACUACAGAUCUUGAGUGUAGGAGGGGAGAGUGGAACUUCUGGUGGAGCGGCGAAAUGCGUAGAUAUCAGAAGGAACGUCGGCGGCGAAAGCGACUCUCUGGCCUAUUACUGACACUGAGUGUGCGAAAGUUAGGGGAGCAAACGGGAUUAGAUACCCCGGUAGUCCUAACUGUAAACGAUGGGCACUAAGUAGAGGGGUUUU
This 477-nucleotide ribosomal RNA is filed under the name uncultured anaerobic ammonium-oxidizing bacterium. RNAcentral describes it as "bacterial SSU rRNA". It matches the Rfam family "Bacterial small subunit ribosomal RNA", at positions 365 to 832 of the family's 1533-position model. The record is from RNAcentral.